CAGUAGCCGCGGUAAUACAGAGGGUGCGAGCGUUAAUCGGAUUUACUGGGCGUAAAGCGUGCGUAGGCGGCUUUUUAAGUCGGAUGUGAAAUCCCUGAGCUUAACUUAGGAAUUGCAUUCGAUACUGGGAAGCUAGAGUAUGGGAGAGGAUGGUAGAAUUCCAGGUGUAGCGGUGAAAUGCGUAGAGAUCUGGAGGAAUACCGAUGGCGAAGGCAGCCAUCUGGCCUAAUACUGACGCUGAGGUACGAAAGCAUGGGGAGCAAACAGGAUUAGAUACCCCGGUAGUCCCUGUCUCUUAUAU
This 301-nucleotide ribosomal RNA is filed under the name uncultured bacterium. RNAcentral describes it as "partial 16S ribosomal RNA". It matches the Rfam family "Bacterial small subunit ribosomal RNA", at positions 509 to 809 of the family's 1533-position model. The record is from RNAcentral.